This 253-nucleotide ribosomal RNA is filed under the name uncultured bacterium. RNAcentral's name for it is "partial 16S ribosomal RNA". It matches the Rfam family "Bacterial small subunit ribosomal RNA", at positions 524 to 776 of the family's 1533-position model. The record is from RNAcentral.
UACAGAGGGCCCAAGCGUUGUUCGGAUUCAUUGGGCGUAAAGGGUGCGUAGGCGGUGCGCUAAGUCAGGUGUGAAAUUUCGGAGCUUAACUCCGAAACUGCAUUUGAUACUGGCGUGCUUGAGGACUGGAGAGGAGACUGGAAUUUACGGUGUAGCAGUGAAAUGCGUAGAGAUCGUAAGGAAGACCAGUGGCGAAGGCGGGUCUCUGGACAGUUCCUGACACUGAGGCACGAAGGCCAGGGGAGCAAACGGG